UUACGGUCAUAUCACGUUGAAUCACCGCUUCUCUUACGAUCGCUUAAGUUAAGCAACGUCGAGCCCAGUCAGUGCCUGGAUGGGUGACCGUUUGGGAAUAACAAGUACUGUAA
Non-coding RNA from Acanthosepion pharaonis, 113 nucleotides. The record is from the annotation of a GenBank genome assembly. Lineage: Eukaryota; Metazoa; Mollusca; Cephalopoda; Sepiida; Sepiidae.